RNAcentral lists this long non-coding RNA (5299 nucleotides) under Sus scrofa (pig). RNAcentral describes it as "lncRNA (ENSSSCG00055025636.1, ENSSSCG00150009493.1, ENSSSCG00175035692.1)". The record is from RNAcentral. Lineage: Eukaryota; Metazoa; Chordata; Mammalia; Artiodactyla; Suidae.
GUGGCCCCACUGGCUCAGCCUGAGGGCUGCUCCUGCAGCAUGUGGAGGUUCCCAGGCUAGGGGCCUACGCCAGAGCCACAGCAACGCGGGAUCCGAGCCAUGUCUGCGACCUACACCACCGUUCUCUGCAACGCCAGAUCCUCAACCCACUGAACGGAGCCAGGGAUCGAACCUGCAACCUCAUGGUUCCCAGCCUAGGGGUCGAGUCAGAGCUGUAGCCGCCGGCCGACACCCCAGCCAUGGCAACACUGGAUCUGAGCCGCAUCUGUGACCUACACCACAGCUCAGGGCAGUGCCGGAUCCUUAACUCACUGAGCGAGACCAGGGAUCAAACCAGCCUCCUCCUGGAUACCAGUCAGGUUUUUAACCCGCUGAGCCGCCCUGGGAACUCUUUGUCAUCCUCAUCAUUUUCAUUGUCGCUGUCACCUUCAGCAGCAGCAGAAGCAGCAGCAUCUUUAGCAGCAGUACCCCUGAAGAGCAACCCCGGGAGGGUGCUUUAUAUACGGUUCCAAGUUUCCUGCCACGGCCAAGCACCGCUUGUCCAUUUAAAGGGGGACAUCCGAUGGUGGCCCCAAGGCACUGCGAUGAGCCCUGGGGUAAGGACAUGGCUGGGACAGGGGGGGUGCCUGUCCACAGAGGUGAGAGCUCCACCUGGCUCACAGGCCUGCACCCGGCAGGACCUGACAGGCUCCUUGGCCCGACUGGGGAGCUAGGGUGCCGGGCAGUCUGCCACCUGACCCCCACAGCCGCCCGCCUUCUGCAGUGCUGGGGUGCGGCCCGCAGGCACAGUCAGGUCCGGGCAGGGCCUGGGAGGCUCUGCAUGUUUGGUGCGCGGCUGCAGGGAGAGGAGCAGCCUGGCUGCCUGGGCUUGGAGAGGAGACUUGCCCAGGUGUGUGUGCAGGGGCCCCGGCCAGCCUCACCCGGGACAGUGAUGCACGCCCGGCGGUGACGCGUGAACACUGGAAUCCCAGGCACUGGGGCUCGGGCAUCCUCAGGCUGGCAUGGCUCUGCUCUCUCCACCAGUCCGUGCAAGGAUGGGCUUGUCCGCCUCCGGCCAUCAAGGAUUCUGGACCUGACUCCAGGCCACCAUGGCCUUCUUCCUCCUUCUGGAACCCAGCCUCCACCCUCUAGCGAUGAGGGUGGACAGAUGCUGUCUCCCCAGCCAGGCGAUAGGACCCAUCCUUUCUGGUCUUGGGCCCUCCUCCCCUGGGACCUCUGGGGGGUCCCCCAAGAGCCGAGGUGCAGGGUCAUGGGCACCAGGACAUUGACGUUCGGGGGAGCCGUCCCACGGGCCCAAUGCCCUCUUUCCCAGCUGGAGAAGCUGAGGACACGAGGGGGGUGGUUCCUCUAGGGCCACACCCAGGACUGGGCCCUGGGGAGCAGCUUCUCUCUGCUUCCUCCUGGAAAGGCCAUGACCUCUGGGGAGGCGGGUCCAAGUCCCUCUGCCCUUCAGAGACUCAGUCAGCAGGAAUUUCCGCACAGCCCCGUGCUAGGAGGUGGCAGGGGACGGUGGAGGAAGAUGCAGGUCUUGCCCCCCGGAGGAGACAACGACCCAGCGGGGAGAGGGGCAGACAAGCUCGUGAAGAAACGUCCUGCCACUGGUCUGGUCACAUCAGGGGAAGGCCCUCGGGGGACACCUGGGCCUGGAGCCUGGAUGGCGAGGAGGCCUUCUGCACUAGAGGAGGCCUUCCGGGUGGGGCCGUGGCAGGUGCAAAGGCCCUGAGGUUGGAGGAACCAUCCUCAAGAGGGGGCAGGCGUGGGACUGAGGGCCCGAGCCGAGGCCGGGAGGCCAACAGCGGCCAGGCCACGGAGGACUUGGCAGCCGUGGAAGGCAUGUGGCCUUUCUCCUGGGAGCGGAGGGGAGACCCAGAGGAUGACAGAACUGGAGCCGCUUUUGAAGAGACUGUGGAGGAGGAAAAGGAUCGGAUUCGGAGCCCCUUCCAGAUAGCAAGUUCCGCAGAGACCCAGAGACUGCAGGUGUGGCUGGUCCUGACCCUGGCCUUGGACGAGUGCCCCACACCCAAGGUCUCCACGGCCCCUCCUCCCAGGCCUCCUCUAAGACCUGCCAGCCCAGAGGUCCUGGCAGGCAUCUCUUGGACACAGUCCCAGGGCGUGGGACUUGAUGGCUGAGUGUGCUGAUCCCCAGGAGGGGGCCCCCAGAGCAAGGGGGCAGGAAGUCCUGUCACUUCCCUGCCAGAGACAUCCCCCAUCUGUCCCUCACUGCAGGUUCCUGCAUCUCGCGCCUGCGUUGUCCUGCAGGGCACGAACCUACAUCAUCACUGUUCAUACAGCCAGGUGUAAUUUAUAACUUACAGGGUCGGGCACGAUUCUUUUUCUCCCCCCUUUUAUUUAUUUAUUUUUUUGCUUUUUUAGGGCUGCACCUGUGGCACAUAGGAGUUCCCAGAUGAGGGGCUGCAUCAGAGCUGCAGCUACCAGCACAUGCCACAGUCAUGCCAGAUCUGAGCCACAUCUGUGACCCACAACCACAGCUCACGGCAACGCCAGAUCCUUAACCCGCUGAGCGAGGCCAGGGAUCGAACCCAUAUCCUCAUGGGUACUAGUCGGGUUCUUAACCCACUGAGCCACAAUGGGGACUUCGUUCUUUUUUCUUUUUAUGGCCACACCUGCAGCAUAUGGGAGUUCCCAUAGGGGUGGAAUUGGAGCUGCAUAUGUGGUGUAAGCCACAGCCACGGCAACACUGGAUCUGAGCCACAUCUGUGAUCUAUUCUGGCAGCUUAUGGCAACACAGGAUCCUUAACCCACUGAGCAAGGCCAGGGAUUGAACUUGCAUCCUCACAGGGACAAUGUUGCACCUUAACCCACUGAGCCACAAUGGGAACUCCUGUUUUUGGUCACCCGCAGCAUGCAAAUUCCCAGGCCAGGGAUCGAACUUGUGACACAACAGUGACCUGAGCCACUGCAGGGACAACGCCGGAUCCUUAACUCGCUGAGUCACCAGGGAACUCUGAAAUGCACGCUUUUCAAGUUUGCAGCUGUGCAAGCCUGUGUGACCUCCACCCAGGUCACAACGUGGACACGCCCAGCCCCCAGGACACCUGUCUUGUGAGGCUGGCCCCCGGGCGUUCGUGUUGCUUGCUUUCCAUCUUGCCAUUGGUGGAAUCGCACAGAAGGUUCUCUCAUGUCUGGAUCUCCGGCUGGACAUGGUGGCCCUGGGAGCCGCCCACACUGAUCUGGGGUUGCGGGGCGGGGGGCAUCCCUCUUUUUUACCGCUGCACAGAGCCUCACAUCUGUGCACACCCCCACCCCAGCGUGUGGGUGCACUUCCUGGACACAGGGCCGUUGCCAGCUCUUGCCGUGACUGUUCCCAAGCCCACUUUCGUGUGGACACCUGCUUCGUUUAUUGGGGUAAACGCAUGGAAGUGAACCUGCUGGGUCCUGGGGAAGGUGAGUGUGUGUGCGUUUAUUAAGACGCUGCCCUUGGCUUUCCCCAGCCCUGGCACCAGCCGCCUUCCUCCACGAGAAGUGGCCACGCCAGGGCCUGGCUGGCUUUGCAGGCGGCCCCUGCCUUGGGGCGGGGGGAGAUGUUCCAACUUCCUCCGUGGGGCCCUCCUCCGCCGUCCGCCCUGCCUCUCACCGCAGCUGUGUCUCUGGCUCCGUCCCACCCUGAACCUCACGUUCCAGCUGCAUCAAAGGCCCACAGUUCCCUGCACACACGUCAUCUCUGUCCUUCUGCACGAACUGUCCUUUCCACCGGGAGUACGAGUCACCCUCCGGGGGCGGCCGGCUGCUUUGUCGUCUAAGAUCUAAGAGCACGUCUUCUAGGACCUGCUGACGUCUCCGGGUCCCGCCCUGCAUCCUGAGGCCCACAUCUGGCUGCCGGCUCUGAGCUGCCUUGGUCCAAGGAAGGCCUUUAAACCACACUGCCUCCCCUUCAUGCUCAGAACCCAGCGGGAUGCCUGGCACGUGGGAGGCCUCAGCAAACGUGCCAUAAAUGACAUGGUGAAGCCGGGUCUAGGUGGACACGUGCACGGGCGCACACGACUCCGUCCGUGAGGCCCACACAUCCAAGCGUGCAGCCUUGUGGGUCCGUGCACAUUUGUGCCCACCCGCGUGGCCACGCCCGGGUCGCUGACUUUUCCCCAAGAGAUUGGUGGUGUCGGUUCUCGACAUAAAAGGAACGUUCUUUCUGCAUCUGCCUUCCUUGGCUUACUCUAGACGUCUGCUCUGAGAGGCGCAGCUGUUGGCCCGGAUCCCUCUGCCUUGGUGGCCGGUGUCCUUGGCAGCAGCACUGCCCCCCCGCCCCCAUCGUUUUCCUCUGUCUCCCCAGAUUUCAUUUCCUGCUUCUGUCCUCAGCCCAGGUGUGGCUUUGCCUGGGAGUCCCUGCUUCCUGUGCGGGAGGGGCCCUUGUCUUCCCAUUAUCAGCAAGUUACCCUUGAAAUUCAGGGACCCUCGCUGCCCUGGGCAACUGUCCAGGCCUCCCUGGUUCCCGGGCCUCCCUGGGACCCCUCUUUGCAGCCCCAUGGUGGGUCAGUCACCGUAAGCUCUGGCUCAGGCACGUCGCCGUGGUCGACCUGGCCACACCCCUGAGCUGAAUUCUCCAAGCGGGGUUCUCAGACCAGCAGCAUCAGCACCACGUGGGAACGAAGAGAUGCAAGUUCUCGGGCGCGCCCCAGGCUCACUGUCCAGGGGAAAACACAGUUUCUUUCCUUGAAUCGCAGAGCCCUCUGACCCCCGGGGGUGCGGGUGUUGGCCCCCAGAGCCUGAGUCUCAGACACCCGCUGGGUGUCCUACAAUCCAGUUCAAACCUGCCACAAAGCAGAGACGGCACAGACCCCACAGGAAAAGGGCUGCCUCCCUUUUACCAGGCAGGGGGUGCGCUGGUAACCCCAUUCUGUCCACCCUGGCCCCAAAUCGGGGGCUCCCACGACCCCCUCCAUGGGGUCACGAAUCUGCUGGAACAGCUCACACAGCCUGGGAAACUUACUACUGUGGAUUUCUUAGAGCGGAUACUUGAGUGACUACAGACGGGUAGGCACAUGAGAGAGCGUGAGGUGUGGAAGGGUCCAGAGCACAGGUGGCCUGUCCCCCGCAGAGCCCUGUGCGUCACCCGCCUGGCAUGGGGAUGUCAUCACCAACCUGGCAGCUCUCCAGACCCCAUACUUUAGGGAUUUUUACGGAGGCUUUGUUAUGUAUGCGAGUUCCCACUCACGGUCCCGGUGAUCGGCCCCCACCCAGAGUCACCUCAUGGAAACAAAAGAUGCUCCCGUCACUCAGGAAAUUCUCAGAGUUUUGGGGGCUCUGUGUCCAGAACUGCGGUCAAAAAUCAACGUUGCCUCAG